GGGUUGUGAGGUUAAGCGACUAAGCGUACACGGUGGAUGCCUAGGCAGUCAGAGGCGAUGAAGGGCGUGCUAAUCUGCGAAAAGCGUCGGUAAGGUGAUAUGAACCGUUAUAACCGACGAUACCCGAAUGGGGAAACCCAGUGCAAUUCGUUGCACUAUUGCAUGGUGAAUACAUAGCCAUGCAAGGCGAACCAGGGGAACUGAAACAUCUAAGUACCCCGAGGAAAAGAAAUCAACCGAGAUUCCCCCAGUAGCGGCGAGCGAACGGGGAGGAGCCCAGAACCUGAAUCAGCGUAUGUGUUAGUGGAAGCGUCUGGAAAGUCGCACGGUACAGGGUGAUAGUCCCGUACACAAAAAUGCAUAUGUUGUGAGUUCGAUGAGUAGGGCGGGACACGUGACAUCCUGUCUGAAUAUGGGGGGACCAUCCUCCAAGGCUAAAUACUCCUGACUGACCGAUAGUGAACCAGUACCGUGAGGGAAAGGCGAAAAGAACCCCGGCGAGGGGAGUGAAACAGAACCUGAAACCGUGUACGUACAAGCAGUGGGAGCACCUUCGUGGUGUGACUGCGUACCUUUUGUAUAAUGGGUCAGCGACUUAUAUUUUGUAGCAAGGUUAACCGAAUAGGGGAGCCGUAGGGAAACCGAGUCUUAACUGGGCGAAUAGUUGCAAGGUAUAGACCCGAAACCCGGUGAUCUAGCCAUGGGCAGGUUGAAGGUUGGGUAACACUAACUGGAGGACCGAACCGACUAAUGUUGAAAAAUUAGCGGAUGACUUGUGGCUGGGGGUGAAAGGCCAAUCAAACCGGGAGAUAGCUGGUUCUCCCCGAAAGCUAUUUAGGUAGCGCCUCGUGAACUCAUCUUCGGGGGUAGAGCACUGUUUCGGCUAGGGGGUCAUCCCGACUUACCAAACCGAUGCAAACUCCGAAUACCGAAGAAUGUUAUCACGGGAGACACACGGCGGGUGCUAACGUCCGUCGUGAAGAGGGAAACAACCCAGACCGCCAGCUAAGGUCCCAAAGUCAUGGUUAAGUGGGAAACGAUGUGGGAAGGCACAGACAGCCAGGAUGUUGGCUUAGAAGCAGCCAUCAUUUAAAGAAAGCGUAAUAGCUCACUGGUCGAGUCGGCCUGCGCGGAAGAUGUAACGGGGCUAAACCAUGCACCGAAGCUGCGGCAGCGAACGUAUCACUUAAAACGCUUAACGUGACGGCAAAGCCGGCAUGUUCAAGCCACACUAAACGUUGAGUUGGCCGAUGUGCUGACAAACGAACAGGCGUUUUAAGGAUACGUUCGUUGGGUAGGGGAGCGUUCUGUAAGCCGUUGAAGGUGGUCUGUGAGGGCUGCUGGAGGUAUCAGAAGUGCGAAUGCUGACAUAAGUAACGAUAAUGCGGGUGAAAAACCCGCACGCCGGAAGACCAAGGGUUCCUGUCCAACGUUAAUCGGGGCAGGGUGAGUCGACCCCUAAGGCGAGGCUGAAAAGCGUAGUCGAUGGGAAACAGGUUAAUAUUCCUGUACUUGGUGUUACUGCGAAGGGGGGACGGAGAAGGCUAGGCUAGCCGGGCGACGGUUGUCCCGGUUUAAGCAUGUAGGCGGAGUGACCAGGUAAAUCCGGUUGCUUAUCAACGCUGAGGUGUGAUGACGAGUCACUACGGUGAUGAAGUAGUUGAUGCCAUGCUUCCAGGAAAAGCCUCUAAGCAUCAGGUAACAUGAAAUCGUACCCCAAACCGACACAGGUGGUCAGGUAGAGAAUACUCAGGCGCUUGAGAGAACUCGGGUGAAGGAACUAGGCAAAAUGGUGCCGUAACUUCGGGAGAAGGCACGCUGGCAUUAGGUAAAGGGACUUGCUCCCGGCGCCGAAGCCAGUCGCAGAUACCAGCUGGCUGCAACUGUUUAAUAAAAACACAGCACUGUGCAAACACGAAAGUGGACGUAUACGGUGUGACGCCUGCCCGGUGCUGGAAGGUUAAUUGAUGGGGUCAGCCGCAAGGCGAAGCUCUUGAUCGAAGCCCCAGUAAACGGCGGCCGUAACUAUAACGGUCCUAAGGUAGCGAAAUUCCUUGUCGGGUAAGUUCCGACCUGCACGAAUGGCGUAAUGAUGGCCAGGCUGUCUCCACCCGAGACUCAGUGAAAUUGAACUCGCUGUGAAGAUGCAGUGUACCCGCGGCAAGACGGAAAGACCCCGUGAACCUUUACUAUAGCUUGACACUGAACAUUGAGCCUUGAUGUGUAGGAUAGGUGGGAGGCAUAGAAGUGUGGACGCCAGUCUGCAUGGAGCCAACCUUGAAAUACCACCCUUUAAUGUUUGAUGUUCUAACUCGGCCCCGUAAUCCGGGGUGAGGACAGUGUCUGGUGGGUAGUUUGACUGGGGCGGUCUCCUCCCAAAGAGUAACGGAGGAGCACGAAGGUUAGCUAAUCACGGUCGGACAUCGUGAGGUUAGUGCAAAGGCAUAAGCUAGCUUGACUGCGAGAGUGACGGCUCGAGCAGGUACGAAAGUAGGUCUUAGUGAUCCGGUGGUUCUGAAUGGAAGGGCCAUCGCUCAACGGAUAAAAGGUACUCCGGGGAUAACAGGCUGAUACCGCCCAAGAGUUCAUAUCGACGGCGGUGUUUGGCACCUCGAUGUCGGCUCAUCACAUCCUGGGGCUGAAGUAGGUCCCAAGGGUAUGGCUGUUCGCCAUUUAAAGUGGUACGCGAGCUGGGUUUAGAACGUCGUGAGACAGUUCGGUCCCUAUCUGCCGUGGGCGUUGGAAGAUUGAGAGGGGCUGCUCCUAGUACGAGAGGACCGGAGUGGACGAAUCACUGGUGUUCGGGUUGUCAUGCCAAUGGCAUUGCCCGGUAGCUAAAUUCGGAAGAGAUAACCGCUGAAAGCAUCUAAGCGGGAAACUUGCCUCGAGAUGAGUCUUCCCUGGGGCUUUAAGCCCCCUGAAGGAACGUUAAAGACGAUGACGUUGAUAGGCUGGGUGUGUAAGUGCAGCGAUGCAUUGAGCUAACCAGUACUAAUGAACCGUGAGGCUUAACCUUACAACACCAAAGGUGUUUUG
This 3036-nucleotide ribosomal RNA is filed under the name Yersinia enterocolitica subsp. palearctica. Its description in RNAcentral is "23S ribosomal RNA". It matches the Rfam family "Bacterial large subunit ribosomal RNA". Lineage: Bacteria; Pseudomonadati; Pseudomonadota; Gammaproteobacteria; Enterobacterales; Yersiniaceae. The record is from RNAcentral.